This 271-nucleotide ribosomal RNA is filed under the name uncultured Pseudomonas sp. RNAcentral describes it as "partial 16S ribosomal RNA". It matches the Rfam family "Bacterial small subunit ribosomal RNA", at positions 1111 to 1382 of the family's 1533-position model. Lineage: Bacteria; Pseudomonadati; Pseudomonadota; Gammaproteobacteria; Pseudomonadales; Pseudomonadaceae. The record is from RNAcentral.
UUAGUUACCAGCACGUUAUGGUGGGCACUCUAAGGAGACUGCCGGUGACAACCGGAGGAAGGUGGGGAUGACGUCAAGUCAUCAUGGCCCUUACGGCCUGGGCUACACACGUGCUACAAUGGUCGGUACAAAGGGUUGCCAAGCCGCGAGGUGGAGCUAAUCCCAUAAAACCGAUCGUAGUCCGGAUCGCAGUCUGCAACUCGACUGCGUGAAGUCGGAAUCGCUAGUAAUCGUGAAUCAGAAUGUCACGGUGAAUACGUUCCCGGGCCUU